Molecule: ribosomal RNA, 253 nt
Filed under: uncultured bacterium
Lineage: Bacteria
Description: partial 16S ribosomal RNA
Rfam family: Bacterial small subunit ribosomal RNA
Source: RNAcentral
GACGUAGGGCGCGAGCGUUGUCCGGAUUUAUUGGGCGUAAAGAGCUCGUAGGCGGCUUGUCGCGUCGACCGUGAAAACCCGCGGCUUAACUGCGGGCUUGCGGUUGAUACGGGCGGGCUAGAGUUCGGUAGGGGAGACUGGAAUUCCUGGUGUAGCGGUGAAAUGCGCAGAUAUCAGGAGGAACACCGGUGGCGAAGGCGGGUCUCUGGGCCGAUACUGACGCUGAGGAGCGAAAGCGUGGGGAGCGAACAGG